GAUGAACGCUGGCGGCGUGCCUAAUACAUGCAAGUCGAGCGAACAGACGAGGAGCUUGCUCCUCUGACGUUAGCGGCGGACGGGUGAGUAACACGUGGAUAACCUACCUAUAAGACUGGGAUAACUUCGGGAAACCGGAGCUAAUACCGGAUAAUAUAUUGAACCGCAUGGUUCAAUAGUGAAAGACGGUUUUGCUGUCACUUAUAGAUGGAUCCGCGCCGCAUUAGCAAGUUGGUAAGGUAACGGCUUACCAAGGCAACGAUGCGUAGCCGACCUGAGAGGGUGAUCGGCCACAAUGGGACUGAGACACGGCCCAAACUCCUACGGGAGGCAGCAGUAGGGAAUCUUCCACAAUGGGCGAAAGCCUGACGGAGCAACGCCGCGUGGGUGAUGAAGGUUUUCGGGUCGUAAAACUCUGUUAUUUGGGAAGAACAAAUGGAAUAGUAACUAUGCACGUCUUGACGGUACCUAAUCAGAAAGCCACGGCUAACUACGUG
This 497-nucleotide ribosomal RNA is filed under the name uncultured bacterium. RNAcentral describes it as "partial 16S ribosomal RNA". It matches the Rfam family "Bacterial small subunit ribosomal RNA", at positions 28 to 507 of the family's 1533-position model. The record is from RNAcentral.